This 433-nucleotide ribosomal RNA is filed under the name uncultured bacterium. RNAcentral describes it as "partial 16S ribosomal RNA". It matches the Rfam family "Bacterial small subunit ribosomal RNA", at positions 29 to 507 of the family's 1533-position model. The record is from RNAcentral.
AACGAACGCUGGCGGCAUGCCUAACACAUGCAAGUCGAACGAGACCUUCGGGUCUAGUGGCGCACGGGUGCGUAACGCGUGGGAACCUGCCCUUAGGUUCGGAAUAACUCCCCGAAAGGGGUGCUAAUACCGGAUAAUGUCUUCGGACCAAAGAUUUAUCGCCUUUGGAUGGGCCCGCGUUGGAUUAGCUAGUUGGUAGGGUAAAAGCCUACCAAGGCGACGAUCCAUAGCUGGUCUGAGAGGAUUAUCAGCCACACUGGGACUGAGACACGGCCCAGACUCCUACGGGAGGCAGCAGUGGGGAAUAUUGGACAAUGGGCGAAAGCCUGAUCCAGCAAUGCCGCGUGAGUGAUGAAGGCCUUAGGGUUGUAAAGCUCUUUUACCCGGGAUGAUAAUGACAGUACCGGGAGAAUAAGCACCGGCUAACUCCGUG